RNAcentral lists this ribosomal RNA (486 nucleotides) under uncultured bacterium. Its description in RNAcentral is "partial 16S ribosomal RNA". It matches the Rfam family "Bacterial small subunit ribosomal RNA", at positions 30 to 507 of the family's 1533-position model. The record is from RNAcentral.
AUUGAACGCUGGCGGCAUGCCUUACACAUGCAAGUCGAACGGCAGCACGGGUGCUUGCACCUGGUGGCGAGUGGCGAACGGGUGAGUAAUACAUCGGAACAUGUCCUGUAGUGGGGGAUAGCCCGGCGAAAGCCGGAUUAAUACCGCAUACGAUCCACGGAUGAAAGCGGGGGACCUUCGGGCCUCGCGCUAUAGGGUUGGCCGAUGGCUGAUUAGCUAGUUGGUGGGGUAAAGGCCUACCAAGGCGACGAUCAGUAGCUGGUCUGAGAGGACGACCAGCCACACUGGGACUGGGACACGGCCCAGACUCCUACGGGAGGCAGCAGUGGGGAAUUUUGGACAAUGGGCGAAAGCCUGAUCCAGCAAUGCCGCGUGUGUGAAGAAGGCCUUCGGGUUGUAAAGCACUUUUGUCCGGAAAGAAAUCCUUGACUCUAAUACAGUCGGGGGAUGACGGUACCGGAAGAAUAAGCACCGGCUAACUACGUG